Molecule: ribosomal RNA, 253 nt
Filed under: uncultured bacterium
Lineage: Bacteria
Description: partial 16S ribosomal RNA
Rfam family: Bacterial small subunit ribosomal RNA
Source: RNAcentral
UACGUAGGUGGCAAGCGUUAUCCGGAUUUAUUGGGUGUAAAGGGCGUGUAGGCGGGAAUGCAAGUCAGAUGUGAAAACUAUGGGCUCAACCCAUAGCCUGCAUUUGAAACUGUAUUUCUUGAGUGCUGGAGAGGCAAUCGGAAUUCCGUGUGUAGCGGUGAAAUGCGUAGGUAUACGGAGGAACACCAGUGGCGAAGGCGGAUUGCUGGACAGUAACUGACGCUGAGGCGCGAAAGCGUGGGGAGCAAACAGG